UACAGAGGUCUCAAGCGUUGUUCGGAUUCAUUGGGCGUAAAGGGUGCGUAGGUGGCGCCAUAAGUCGGGUGUGAAAUCUCGGGGCUUAACUCCGAAACUGCAUUCGAUACUGUGGUGCUUGAGGACUGGAGAGGAGACUGGAAUUCAUGGUGUAGCAGUGAAAUGCGUAGAUAUCAUGAGGAAUACCAGAGGCGAAGGCGGCUCCCUGGACAAUUGCUGACACUCAGGCACGAAAGCGUGGGGAGCAAAAGGG
RNAcentral lists this ribosomal RNA (253 nucleotides) under uncultured bacterium. RNAcentral describes it as "partial 16S ribosomal RNA". It matches the Rfam family "Bacterial small subunit ribosomal RNA", at positions 524 to 776 of the family's 1533-position model. The record is from RNAcentral.